GCACGUUAAAAAUUUAAACACGAAUUUCUGCCAAAAAAAAAAACUGAAAACACCAUCGCCAGCCAAAUAGCGUCUGCAAUGCCAAUUAUAUUUAUUGAACAAAAGGCAAAAUCUGCUUUGUAUAUACGAAAUAUCCACCACAUCUGCAUAUUUAAUAAGUAGCAUUCCAGGUGGUCUCGAAAAAUCUAGAGACAAUGUGGCAACUCUAGGCAAAUGAACUGUUUUACCUGCACACAUACGAAUGCGGCGCACAUAACACACAAACGGAUAAUUUAGUGGAAUUUUCGAAAAUAGCAAAGGAAAGGCAACCAUAAUCCUCAAGAGCAGCAGCAGCAUCCAACAACAAAAAACGGCACAGGCAUAAUAAUCAAAGAUUAAAUCAGGUUUAUAUGGAAGGGUUAAAAAGAGCAAAAGCAGCCUGUCACAGGAAGAAAUACACGUUUCCUAGUCACAGAGGCACAACUACAAAAACAACAACGAACAACUGAUUUUGAUUACAACUACAAGGAGCGCGCGCUACACAACACACACGCACGCACAACCAGACACAUACAUUACACAUACGUGUGAUUUGCGCUCACCAAAAGAGAGAGCAAGUGCGAGCGAGCGAGAGGGAGAGCGAGAGCGGACGUAUGUGUGUGUGGGAAGAGAGCGAGCAAUGCACACAGAUUAACUGGCGCGCUCAGUUUUUGCGCUCACGUCUUCCGCUUUUUCAGCUCAGUUCUCAUUCGAGUGCGGUACGGUUACGUCGCAUUGCGCUGCUUGAACACGGCCGGCGGCUGCAAAAUACAAAACACAAGAUUUUCCGCUAGGCAACAGCAACACCAACAACAUAUGGGCGGCAUUUGUUUUGAAAGGCAGACGAAAUAUAAACUAAACCGCAACUCGCCGCUAAUAACUGUUUGUGUUUGUGUAAAUAUAUAGAUUAUAUGACGAAAAAGUGAAAUAGUGCAAAGAAAUAACAAAGAAAAAGCCCAAAAAAAUUAUUAUAAUAAAAAUAAUAAUAAGACGGGCAUCGAGACCGCAGAGACCAGUUUGAAAUCGCCGCCUAUAUUUGCAGGGCAGUCGACGCGGCAGAGAAGCGAGCAGCAGUGCAUGCUGUGUGCGAGUGAAAGAGCUGGCGAUAGUUUUGACAGUGUGUGUGUGUGUGGAGAAGGGGCAGGCAAUUGAACGUACACCAACACACACACACAUACACAUGUGCACAUGCUAGCCAAGACAGUGCUACAACAACAACAGUAAGCAGCGACCACAUACGGUGAAAAGGCCGCGUCGCUGUCUCAAGGAGCGAAAGGCAGCAAGAGCGAGAGAGAGAGCGACCGAGAGCAAAGCGAGCUAUAAGAAUAAUAAAUUACACUUUGCUUUUGCUAUAAUAAGAAGAAAAAUUUAUAUACACACGCACACUCUCACACACAUGUGCAAGUAAUGUUUUUCUGUUUAUGUGUGUGUGAUGUGGGGGGAAAAUUGUAAUAAAAUAUGAACGCACGAAAAACGCUGGAAACGGAAAACUAAAAGUAAAAUUUCGAAACAUCAGCGCAGUAGUAGCAGCGCAAAUAUGCAGCGGUAUAUGUAUAUGUAUAUGUGUGUGUGUGUAAAUUAUUAACAGUUGGGCGGCGCAAAUCAAAAGCGAAAAGCAAAAUAAGUAAAGCGACGAAAAAUAAGCAAGAAGCAGCAGGAGCAGUAAAUAAAACUGAAACAACAUUCAAUGUGCCAUAAUUUUCAACAACAAAAACAACUACUACUAUAAUUAAUAACUAAGCAAAGGAAAAAAGGAGCAGCUUUAAACACACAAUAAAUCAAUGCAUUAUAUUAUACACAUAUAC
Long non-coding RNA from Drosophila grimshawi, 1823 nucleotides. RefSeq lists it as uncharacterized. NCBI's taxonomy places the organism in Eukaryota, Metazoa, Arthropoda, Insecta, Diptera, Drosophilidae. The transcript is spliced from 3 exons. The record is from RefSeq and is a predicted model, not a curated record.